Molecule: ribosomal RNA, 253 nt
Filed under: uncultured bacterium
Lineage: Bacteria
Description: partial 16S ribosomal RNA
Rfam family: Bacterial small subunit ribosomal RNA
Source: RNAcentral
UACGAGGGGGGCUAGCGUUGCUCGGAAUUACUGGGCGUAAAGCGCACGUAGGCGGAUUGUUAAGUCGGGGGUGAAAUCCUGGAGCUCAACUCCAGAACUGCCUUCGAUACUGGCGAUCUCGAGUUCGGGAGAGGUGAGUGGAACUGCGAGUGUAGAGGUGAAAUUCGUAGAUAUUCGCAAGAACACCAGUGGCGAAGGCGGCUCACUGGCCCGAUACUGACGCUGAGGUGCGAAAGCGUGGGGAGCAAACAGG